This is an RNA transcript of Xyrauchen texanus (razorback sucker), 2325 nucleotides long. It is a transcript of the gene named EF-hand calcium-binding domain-containing protein 4B-like, with no coding region annotated. The transcript has 6 exons. The record is from RefSeq and is a predicted model, not a curated record. NCBI's taxonomy places the organism in Eukaryota, Metazoa, Chordata, Actinopteri, Cypriniformes, Catostomidae.
GGCUCAGACAAGGAUAAGAGCCAGCGGCUGCCACAGCCACAGAAAAGUCUGGAGAAGAAGGAAUCAGGGUGGGGGAACAUUGCUAUAGUGGACAAGGGAGAAGAGUUUUUCCAGAACUGUGACAGUGAGGGAAAGGGAUUCAUUACACGCACUGAUUUGAGGAGGCUACACAAAAACUUGCCGCUCUCUGCUGAAGAACUGGAAAAGGUCUUUGAUUCCCUAGACCUUGACCGAAAUGGCUACCUCACCCUGGGAGAGUUUUCCUCAGGAUUUAGUAACUUUCUUCAUGGACGGAGGAUCUCCAAGACAGAGGAUCUAAUGCCUGCAGCCUCUCUUAAGAUUACAGAAGCUCUGCAACAAAACCAAUGUGACGUACAGCUAUCAGGAAAUGAGGACGAGGAGGAGAGAGACAUUUCAGCAUGUUGAUGGAGAGUUUGGGCUCUAGCAUUGUCUUUGAAGACCCGAGUGAGGUCCGCAGUCUUUGGACUCAGCUCAGGAAAGAUGAACCUCACCUCUUGUCCAACUUUGAGGAGUUUUGGAAUUGAGAAUUGAGAAUUUGUGGAAAGCAGCCAAAGAUGACAAUGAAAUUCUCAGAUUAUAUGAGGAAAUGGAGCAACAGAUCAUUAAUGAAAAAGAUAGAGCACUUCUGAAGGACUCUGAAAAUCUACAGCUGCGCCGUCAAGAACUUCAGGAGAAGCUCCACAGUAAAGAACAGGAUUUGGAGCAGCUUUUUCAGAAACAGAGGGUGAGUGCUGCAGAAAAAUUUUUUUAAUCAUAAAAAAAUCUUAAAAUUGCUUCUGGAAUCUAGAAAAUGAUCAGACCAGCACCAGACUUAAAACUGAGCUGUAAUUACUAAAUUAUAAAGUAUGAAUGAAAAUUUGUAUUUUGUGUGACUGCUAAGAGAACUCACAUCUUGCCACUGUAGCCCUUUAUUUUUUUUCCUGUGUACAUUUCCAUGAAUGGAGCACAACAUUCUAGGUCAUCAAGCAAAAGCUUAGGCUACAAGCCGUUAAGUCAAUCCAGGAGUUUUACAAUUUGGCUUGAGCUAGAACAUUCACAGAAGGGAUGAUUUUAGAGCAGGGUCAAGAAAACCUCCUGUGAAACUAUCAACAUUACUGCAAUGAUACUUAAGAGGACACAUGACUUGAACAUCUCUCACAUCCUAAUGGACACUUUCAGGAAUGCAGAAGUAAACUAUUGCAGUAUAAACUUCUUCAGCAGUGAAUGGGAGACCACAGCUAUUUGCUCCAACAGUUGAGAAAAGAAUCCACUAUUGCAUUUCCACAACUUUUCAAAAGAGGAAAAAAACAGAGAGAGAUUACUACAGUCAAAAGAACUUGACAUGAACAUGAGAGUAAAUGACGACUCAAAUUCAACUGUUUCUACAUCUUAAUUUAAUUAUAUUUAAUAAGCUAAUUUAAGUUUAUUAAAUUACAUAAACUUUAAUUUCUAUAAUGUAUACCAAAUGUUUGUUUAUUGAUCUAUCUUAAUCACAAAGUAUUGGACAUUGUGUGGUGCCGUAUGGCCAAAUUUUAAUUAGUUAUAUGUAUAUAUAUAUAUAUAUAUAUAUAUAUAUAUAUAUGUGUGUGUGUGUGUGUGUGUGUGUGUGUGUGUGUGUGUGUGUGUGUGUUAAUUGUUUUGACAGUGUUGAAGAAAAUAUGUUCUACAUAUCUACAUACAAUUUAUUCAUUUCAAUUCAGUUCAAAAUUUUACUUCCAAUGGGAUGAGGACAAAUCAAAUUACAAUUCAAUUCAUCAGUUGAAAGAAAUUAUUAUAUUCUGAAUUUUGCUGAAUCCUGUUUAAAAUAAUUUCUCCUAUAUUUGUUAAUUUCAUUGAAACAGUGAAACUGUCAAACUUUGCUGUUCCUUUGAGCAACUGUUUUUUAGCUAUCAAGUUAAUUACAUGUCCAGUAAAUUAUAUGUCUUGCUUAUUUAUUAAUCGAGCAAAUUAAGUAAAUAGCAUUAUUAUUAUUAAUACACGGUCAAAUAAUAAUAAUAAAAAGAAAUCAGUCAAAAAUUUCUGCUAUGCAUUUAAUUUCAUUUAAAAAAGGUAUGAAAGAACAUUAAAAAAUCUGAAUAUAAAAUUCAAAGUGAUAUAAGAUCACUUUUUGAAAUCAAUUAAAUAAUAAACUAAAUAAAAAUACAUGCAAUCUGGAGUACAAAUAUAUUUGAAAUAACAAAAACAUGAAGACACUGAAUCUUCAGUAACACUGUAUGUUCUCAUAAACUCUUCUCAGAUCCAGAAACUGUAAUAUGAUGUCAGAGGCAGUGGGUGUGGCCAUUGAGUCUUACUGUUCCUCAUUUCUUCGACUCCUCCCCCACAUCA